CGUGACAUUGUCUACGGUCUACUGAUUUGUAAUCAGUAGGUCGCGGGUUCGACUCCUGCAAAUCACAU
This 68-nucleotide transfer RNA is filed under the name Methylocapsa sp. D3K7. RNAcentral describes it as "tRNA-Ser". It matches the Rfam family "tRNA". From Rfam's summary of the family: Transfer RNA (tRNA) molecules are approximately 80 nucleotides in length. Their secondary structure includes four short double-helical elements and three loops (D, anti-codon, and T loops). Lineage: Bacteria; Pseudomonadati; Pseudomonadota; Alphaproteobacteria; Hyphomicrobiales; Beijerinckiaceae. The record is from RNAcentral.